GACGAACGCUGGCGGCGUGCCUAAUACAUGCAAGUUGAGCGCUGAAGGUUGGUACUUGUACCAACUGGAUGAGCAGCGAACGGGUGAGUAACGCGUGGGGAAUCUGCCUUUGAGCGGGGGACAACAUUUGGAAACGAAUGCUAAUACCGCAUAAAAACUUUAAACACAAGUUUUAAGUUUGAAAGAUGCAAUUGCAUCACUCAAAGAUGAUCCCGCGUUGUAUUAGCUAGUUGGUGAGGUAAAGGCUCACCAAGGCGAUGAUACAUAGCCGACCUGAGAGGGUGAUCGGCCACAUUGGGACUGAGACACGGCCCAAACUCCUACGGGAGGCAGCAGCAGGGAAUCUUCGGCAAUGGACGAAAGUCCGACCGAGCAACGCCGCGUGAGUGAAGAAGGUUUUCGGAUCGUAAAACUCUGUUGGUAGAGAAGAACGUUGGUGAGAGUGGAAAGCUCAUCAAGUGACGGUAACUACCCAGAAAGGGACGGCUAACUACGUG
Molecule: ribosomal RNA, 497 nt
Filed under: uncultured bacterium
Lineage: Bacteria
Description: partial 16S ribosomal RNA
Rfam family: Bacterial small subunit ribosomal RNA
Source: RNAcentral